Molecule: ribosomal RNA, 253 nt
Filed under: uncultured bacterium
Lineage: Bacteria
Description: partial 16S ribosomal RNA
Rfam family: Bacterial small subunit ribosomal RNA
Source: RNAcentral
UACGAGGGGUGCAAGCGUUGCUCGGAAUUAUUGGGCGUAAAGGGUAGGUAGGUGGUCUCAUUUGUCCGGGGUGAAAGCCUUGAGCUUAACUCAAGAAGUGCCUCGGAAACGGUGAGACUGGAGUCCUGGAGAGGGUCGUGGAAUUCCCGGUGUAGUGGUGAAAUGCGUAGAGAUCGGGAGGAACACCAGAGGCGAAGGCGGCGACCUGGACAGGCACUGACACUCAACUACGAAAGCGUGGGGAGCAAACAGG